AUGCGGCACCGGAACCUGGUGCGCGUGCUCACCACGUGCAGCCAGCCGAACUUCCACGCGAUCGUGCUCCCGCUGAUGACCAAGGGUAGCCUCGAGAGCCACCUCUACCCGCGUGACGGCGGCCCCAGACAUGCCAUGGACCUUGCAUGGCUGGUUGCCAUCGCCGGCAACAUAGCCGAGGGGCUCACCUACCUGCAUCACUACGCCCCCGUCCGCAUCGUACACUGCGACCUUAAGCCCAGCAACGUGCUCCUCGACGACGACAUGACAGCCGUUGUGGGUGACUUCGGCAUCGCGCGGCUGGUCAAGCACAUGGGCGACGACGACAACACAUGCUCUACUAAUCCCUGCAACUCCACUGCCGGAUUGUUGCAAGGCUCCGUGGGCUACAUCGCGCCAGGUAAUUUACAACACAAUUGA
RNAcentral lists this ribosomal RNA (420 nucleotides) under Triticum aestivum (bread wheat). RNAcentral's name for it is "partial small subunit ribosomal RNA". The record is from RNAcentral. Lineage: Eukaryota; Viridiplantae; Streptophyta; Magnoliopsida; Poales; Poaceae.